CCAGACGGGUGCUUUUUCAGUCUGCCACAGAAACAUUCCGGGGACUGCGACUAUCUUGACCUGUGCAGGGUGACGCAGCUGCCCGGGGACAUGGUG
RNAcentral lists this small nucleolar RNA (96 nucleotides) under Myotis davidii. Its description in RNAcentral is "Small nucleolar RNA SNORA77". It matches the Rfam family "Small nucleolar RNA SNORA77", at positions 30 to 125 of the family's 125-position model. From Rfam's summary of the family: ACA63 (SNORA77) is a member of the H/ACA class of snoRNAs that guide the sites of modification of uridines to pseudouridines. The record is from Rfam by way of RNAcentral. Lineage: Eukaryota; Metazoa; Chordata; Mammalia; Chiroptera; Vespertilionidae.